RNAcentral lists this ribosomal RNA (301 nucleotides) under uncultured bacterium. RNAcentral describes it as "partial 16S ribosomal RNA". It matches the Rfam family "Bacterial small subunit ribosomal RNA", at positions 509 to 807 of the family's 1533-position model. The record is from RNAcentral.
CAGUAGCCGCGGUAAUACGUAGGGUGCGAGCGUUAAUCGGAAUUACUGGGCGUAAAGCGUGCGCAGGCGGUCAUAUAAGACAGAUGUGAAAUCCCCGGGCUCAACCUGGGACCUGCAUUUGUGACUGUAUAGCUAGAGUACGGUAGAGGGGGAUGGAAUUCCGCGUGUAGCAGUGAAAUGCGUAGAUAUGCGGAGGAGCACCGAUGGCGAAGGCAAUCCCCAGGACCUGUACUGACGCUCAUGCACGAAAGCGUGGGGAGCAAACAGGAUUAGAGACCCCUGUAGUCCCUGUCUCUUAUAC